UACGGAGGGUGCAAGCGUUAUCCGGAUUCACUGGGUUUAAAGGGUGCGUAGGCGGCUUGAUAAGUCAUUGGUGAAAGCUCGCAGCUUAACUGCGAAACUGCCAAUGAAACUGCCAAGCUUGAAUCUGGUUGAAGUGGGCGGAAUACAACAUGUAGCGGUGAAAUGCUUAGAUAUGUUGUAGAACACCGAUUGCGAAGGCAGCUCACUAAGCCAACAUUGACGCUGAGGCACGAAAGCGUGGGUAGCGAACAGG
RNAcentral lists this ribosomal RNA (253 nucleotides) under uncultured bacterium. RNAcentral describes it as "partial 16S ribosomal RNA". It matches the Rfam family "Bacterial small subunit ribosomal RNA", at positions 524 to 776 of the family's 1533-position model. The record is from RNAcentral.